Molecule: transfer RNA, 73 nt
Filed under: Dipodomys ordii (Ord's kangaroo rat)
Lineage: Eukaryota; Metazoa; Chordata; Mammalia; Rodentia; Heteromyidae
Rfam family: tRNA
About the family: Transfer RNA (tRNA) molecules are approximately 80 nucleotides in length.
Source: Rfam by way of RNAcentral
GGAGGUGUGGCUCAAGUGGUAGAGAACUUGCCAAGCAAGUACAAAGUCCUGAGUUCAAAUCCCAGUACUGCCA